GUCAACUGAAGCUUCUUCCCAGCUGACAGACCCUGAGCUAAUUGUCUUUAAUGAGCAGCUGGGCCCGGUUUCCUGGGAUUUGCAUUUGCAGAUAUUCGGGGCAGCAGCACCUCUGUGGAUGGCAGCCAGACUGGCCUUCCAGGGGGUGAUUAUUCCGGCAGCUGAGGAAGACAUUGUUGGAGCAACAGCUUAGAGAAUCAAGGAGAAUGUGACUGUUUGUGUCUUUUAACCCACAAUGAUCCAUGCAACAGUAUCUUCCAGAUUUUCCAAUAGGCCAAAGAGAAAGUCUCCAACGAUGCUGUUAACAUCUUUUGAACACCCGUGGAUCGCGUGUGUGCUCUCCCAGUCUCUUUUGCUCUCUCUCUCACCUGGACAAAGCUGAUCUUGGACCCAGAACUUCUACAGACAAUGCACUUAACACUAUCAGAUACUGCAGUUUACAUGUCAUACAUGUUCCACGUGUGUUUCUUGCUCAUCUCCUGCGAGUGGACUUCAAGAGGAUGAGAGUUUCCAUCUGUUUUGUACUCUAAUAUUCUCAGCACCUGGAGCAGUGUCUGGUGCCCCAUAGGUCCCCGGAAGAAGGAACAUCCAGGGAGUGUGUGAGGGCUGGGGCAGCCACUCCCAGCCCCCUCCUGGCUCCUUGGUCUCCUCUCUGGACAUGGCAUCCCCACCUCCCUGCCCUCACCUCCUCAGCCCUCAAGGGCAGCACAAGAUACGGAAGCUUAUCUCUCAGGGGAAAGGUUUCCAGCUGCAGGCAGACACUCCUCCCUCCCCCACGAGCCCAGCAGUAACCAGCAAGAGCAUCGCCCUCUUUGAAGAGUCCUCUAAAGACAGAGGGUUUGGGGACAGACCCAUGUGGUGCUCCUGAGCAAGCCAGGGAGCAAGCCAUUCCCAGCCC
Long non-coding RNA from Bos taurus (domestic cattle), 898 nucleotides. The record is from Ensembl. NCBI's taxonomy places the organism in Eukaryota, Metazoa, Chordata, Mammalia, Artiodactyla, Bovidae.